This 99-nucleotide transfer RNA is filed under the name Metarhizium album ARSEF 1941. It matches the Rfam family "tRNA". From Rfam's summary of the family: Transfer RNA (tRNA) molecules are approximately 80 nucleotides in length. Their secondary structure includes four short double-helical elements and three loops (D, anti-codon, and T loops). Further hydrogen bonds mediate the characteristic L-shaped molecular structure. tRNAs have two regions of fundamental functional importance: the anti-codon, which is responsible for specific mRNA codon recognition, and the 3' end, to which the tRNAs corresponding amino acid is attached (by aminoacyl-tRNA synthetases). tRNAs cope with the degeneracy of the genetic code in two manners: having more than one tRNA (with a specific anti-codon) for a particular amino acid; and 'wobble' base-pairing, i.e. permitting non-standard base-pairing at the 3rd anti-codon position. The record is from Rfam by way of RNAcentral. Lineage: Eukaryota; Fungi; Ascomycota; Sordariomycetes; Hypocreales; Clavicipitaceae.
GGUGAGAUGGCCGAGUUGGUUAUGGCGUCAGGUUAAGGUUAUCUUAACAGUAAUAUCCUGAUGGAGCAAUCCUCCUGGGUUCGAGUCCCAGUCUCAUCA